UAUUAUUAGCCUUUUACAAUAGUUCUCUUUUAAUAAUUUAUUAAUAAUUAAUAAAUUAAUUAAUAAUAAUUAAUAAUUUAUUAAUAAUUGUUUCUAAAGUACAGAAUUUUUACUUAAAACAGUUUUAUUAUUUGUAUAGAUUUAGGAUAUACAGACAGUUUUCAUGAAAUUAUCUGAAUGGUUGCCAAACAAAAGUUUCAUAAUUUAGACACUUUCUGGAAUUUUAUGUUAUAAUUUCUGAGUGGGCAAUUUAUCACAGUGGUGCAUCCGAAUCAAAGCAAAUUUUAAAUCAUAAAAACAAAAAUGCAAUUUGGGGUAAUUUUGUAAAAUCGAUGCCUUUCAGUAAAAAUUAAAUAAAAUACUUAAAAUGGUAUUCUUGACAGUCUCUGAUUCUGUUAAAUAAAUAAAUAAAUAUAUAGACAUACACACACGUGUAUGUAGGGUUAGAUAAAUUGAAAAUAGUACUUUAAAUGCAUUGAAUCUUCAGUUCGGUUUGCUUUGAAAAUUUGUGAAUUGUUGGUAGGUUUGGUCAGCAGCAUAAAUUAAUGUAGCUUAACUUAUUUAGCAAACUUUUCUUUUUUGCCAAAAUCAGAAAUUAUUAAUGAAAACCAAAAAUCACCAAAACCAAAAGAUACUAAGAAACGUUCAGUAACUCACCUUCGCAAUGACAUGCAAAUGUCUUGAUUAAAGUACACAACAGGGCAAAAUCAUAUCCUUCUGUGAACAGUUAUCAGGUACGGAAAUAAUAUAAUUAUAGCUUUGCCAGUUGACAGAAUAAUAAAUAGGAAAUAAUAAAUGCAUGUUCAGAUUUUUUUUUUUUUUUGCAUUUUUGUAUUCACCCCUCUGCUAGAUGAUAAUUGCUGAGUGGAGUUGCUGAUGGAUCAUUCUUGUAUGAUUGAAGUAGAUAUUGAAGACAGUUGUGCAGAAUACUGAGUGCCAUAAUCAUUGUUCAUAUUUUUAAUGUAAGUAACUUGUCUGGCACCAUUGGUGUUGUAUAAUUUUACUUCAGGAUUUUUGCCUACUCAUAGUUGGUACACUACAAAUGCCAGCUGGGUGAAUCAUGUACAAGUGUAAUGGUUAAGAGACAAGAUUUCAUGAUUUUAUUCUCAGGCCAAUUUCAUUUUUAAAACAAGAGAUUUAGAUGUUAUUGUUUUUAUUCUGUUUAUUCAUUAAGUUAGCACCAUUUUCAACAUAUUGUCGCGGGUUGAAAUUUUGCAGGGUUGUUGAAAUCAAAUUUAGGGACUUUACUGACGGGACUCUGGGCUGGCUGCUCUGUUCACUCGUCAGCGCAAGUGGCGUGACCAUGUAAUUGGGGCACGGGGCCGGCGCGGCGCGCUGCGGGCUUGCAGAAUUUUGUUUGUUUGUUUGGCCGCGCGCUGGCGCAGCCACGGGCCGCAGUUACUGGGGCGCGCUGUCGUAACAAGCCGCGCGGUGUGGCCUGCACAUCGGGGUAGAGGGGGGGUAGUCUUCCCAGAUGUUCUAGUUAGUAGUUUAGUAAAUUUGACUUCAAUAACGAGCUUUUGUUAUGGUAGGCGCGGCAGGGUGCGCGAAUUUAAGCGCAAGUGAGUGGUGACUCGGGGCUCACUCAGGCGGAGGCUAUGCGUCUCACCUGUGGUCACGAGUUGUUAGUUCGUUCGUGAUGUAGGAAUUCAAGCUUUCGGGCGGAAGCUAUGGUCGACGCCAGAGGCCACGAGUCGUUUAAUUUAAGUUAGGUCAUAAUGUAGUCGUCAAGCUUUCGGGCGGAGGCUAUGGCCCUCGUCAGGGGUCACGCGUCAUAGUUUUUAAAAUGUAAUGUUCGUUCGGGAUUUCAAGGGCAGGAGAGGCCCCUACGUUAUUUUUUUAAAGUAAUCGAUCAAGAAAGGCUUUUCGGAAAAUGUGAGUAUGGACUUAUCUUUGUUUUAAUUUUAAGUAUUAAUUAUGAUUUGAGGUAUUCGGAAGGACUAGGGAAGUGUUUAGUGAAGUUCUCUCAUUCUCUCUCUUGUAAGGUCGUUCAAUCGUUAAGGAAGUAAAGAGAUUAUUGUUUUAAAUUGUAAUCCCGCUAUUUAAAUGUUCUUUAAAAUGAUGUUGAGUAUUUGACUUUAAGAAUAAAAUAAUUUUAAUUAAGUAUUAUGUUAUUUUGCAAAAUCUCCUUAGUUCAGCUCUCACCAGACAUCCUGUACGGGAUGACGAACCUAUGAUCCUAGGUACAGUAAAGUAUUUUAUGAAGUUAAGACUAGUUGAUGCCAAGCGAGUUGUUUCUAUGUCAAGAGCUACGAUUCUCGCCCCCCCCCUCUGAAGGUGGAUCGUGACAGAAAUGGCGGUGGCACCGGCUAGGUGUCACGUGACAGAAAUGGUGGAGGCGCCGGGUAGGUUCUAUUUCUGGAGAGAGAGAGAGGUAGAUUUUUAUGUUUAUUAUUAAGUUAGUUUCAGCUUCUGAUAGCAGGUUAUUAAGAGUUUACUUGAGGAGAGGAUUACGGAAUUUUAGUCUAUAGUGGAGGAAGUCUUUGAGAUUUUUUUUUUGACGUAACAGAUGUUUAUUUGAGGAUACUUGUAAGGAUAAAGUUUAUAGUGAUAAGUUGUUUUAAGUCGUUGAAUUUAUUGUAGAUUUAUAUCGGGGAUUAUUACGUGAGGAGAAUACGUUAUAAGUUAAAUGCUUAUUAGAGAUAAUGCAAGUGGUUUAAUUUAAUUGAAGUUCAUUUUAAGAUUGUAGGUUAAGAGAAUUAUAAUUUAAAAUAAAGUUUUUUGUCGUAAAUAGGAAUUAUUUUCAAGAGAAGUUUGUUUUGUUUUCGUGCGCGUAGGAGACGAGACGUACGAAUUAAAUCAGUCGAGGGAAGGAUAAACGUUAGAAAGGAAUUAAAGAGAAAACGAGAGUUUAUGUAAAAGAGAGUUAUAGAAUUUAUAGUGAUGUUUUGUUUUAAUUAGAAAAAUGUUGAGAGUUGUUUCAGAACGACACGUCAGUGGACGUGGCAGAAUGAACACGAGACGGGGAGGUGCUGAGACCUAGCGGAGAACGGAGGAACCGCAAGCGAGGGUUGGCGCACCUGAUGGAAUUCGGUGACGUCACGGGCUCAUACGGAGACGUGGACAGGCCGUGACCUUGUUUUGAUCAGCUGUACGGUAACUUAGCGAUAAGAAAAUAGACUAUUGGUUAAAUAAAUUUAAAUUUAAGUGUGUUUUAGGAGAAGAGGAACUUUCAGUAUAUUCCUUAAGAUGAGCUGAGCAGCAGUCCAGUUUACAAGAUGACAAGAGUUCGAGAGACAAGAUACAAGAUCACUGAAACAAGAGCCAAGACUGAAGAUUCAAGAGAAGAGAAAGCUGGCAGCCAUGGACUUACAAGUGGAGAUUAAUAAGGUCAUGUAAAGUUUUAUUUUUUUUAUGGAAGACAGUAACUGGAGUUUUUUUUUUGUUAUAAACAUUAUUUACAGAACUUUUUAGGUUAUAGUAAUGUAAUGGAACUAGUGAGUUGUGGUAGCUGUCAAAAAGAACUAAUACCUUAAGUUUAAUUUUUAAAGUUAAUUUUCUUAAUUUACAGAGGGAUUAGUAGUUUUUUUUAAACCUUAUUUAGGUUGGAAUUUAAAUACAAUAGCUUAUUAUAAAUGUGUACGAACAGUUCAAGUUCACAGUACUGAUAGGUAGGUCAGAUGAUCUUAUUGAUUUUGAUGAUUUGUUGUUUUGAGUUGAUUUUUAGGUGUUGUGAAUUAGACAAUGAAAUAGUUCUGAAAACUUAAAUUAUUUCAAGCUAAGAAAUAGUAAAGUUAAUUGUAACUCAAAGGACACCAGAAUUUAAUUUUUUUUUUGAAUUAGUAAUGUUUGAAAAUUUUAUACUUUACAAGAAAGGUUAUAAACAAACAGAUCGGAUGGAACAAGGAUGCAGUAAAUCACAAUUUCAUUUAGAAUUAUUGAUUAGCUUUUGAGGUUAUGAAGUAAAAGUAAUUAUAAUUUAAAAGUUUGAAUAAAAAAAAAAAAUGUUUUUUUUUAUUUGUUUGAAAUAGAAAGUUUAAAAGUUAAUUAGUCAUGAUCUAGGUGGGUGAUGGGGUGGGAAUUGGCCACUCUUUUUCCCUAUAACCUCCCUAACAUGGCCUUCUAUUACAACUAACAGAAAUAAAGAAGAAGAAAAAUGAAGAAUUAUUAGUUAGAAUGUUUCUUUCAUGAAGAUACCUGAUGAACUUUUACUGUUUGGAAGAAUAGAAGCAAGGUUAGUCAGAUAUUUUUACUCAGAAGAAGAAGAAGAUAAAGCAGUUUUAUGACUCGACAAGCCAGAGAUUGGUGUUUCCCCUCUGCGCUUCUAUUGACUACGUUGUUUACUCUCAUGGGAUAGCUGGUUCGGCACCAUGGAGAGAGAUUGGUGGGCAUUGUGGUUGCCCCCAGAAGAAAAGAAGAGUAGAAGAGGUUAUGGGUGGGUCAUGUGAACUGACCUUCAACCCAGUUACUUCGUGGGGACUAUUUGCUGAAUAGAGAAGAUCAAGACUCAAGAGUUAGGGAAAAUUAUUGGAGGUCAUGUUUCCCUUCCUUAAGUUUUUCCUAUCAAAUUAUUUGCCUGAUUAGAUUAUGCUAAGGGUGGGAUACUUUAUGUUAGCAGUUGAAUUAAUUAAUUUUAUUUUUUUGUGUGUUUGCAUCCUUGCCCAUCGAUUGCAGUUUAGUAGUUAGUUUUGUAUUUGUCAGGCGUGAUGGUAAUGCCUGUUGAUGAUGUUUCAGAAUUGUAAUCUGUUCGUGAUGAGGAUGGCACAACUCCGAAGCAGAUGUGGGGAGAAGUUGUGAGCUGCCCUGGAAGCCAGUCCAGUAGCUGUUGGAGUUGAGUGGUGUUUGCUGAUGGCCAGCCCAGGGAGCUACUCUUCUCGACAACACUGACUUCGAGGAGUUGCACCAACCUUCACGAGAUAAGAGUUUAAUUAAUUGAAACACUGUAAGGACACUUAAUUUUUUUUGAAGAACGAAAGAAGUAUGGUAAUAAACGGAAACCGAAAAAAAAAAAAA
Molecule: long non-coding RNA, 4953 nt
Organism: Bacillus rossius redtenbacheri
Lineage: Eukaryota; Metazoa; Arthropoda; Insecta; Phasmatodea; Bacillidae
Exons: 2
Source: RefSeq, a predicted model, not a curated record